This 253-nucleotide ribosomal RNA is filed under the name uncultured bacterium. RNAcentral's name for it is "partial 16S ribosomal RNA". It matches the Rfam family "Bacterial small subunit ribosomal RNA", at positions 524 to 776 of the family's 1533-position model. The record is from RNAcentral.
UACGUAGGGUGCGAGCGUUGUCCGGAAUUAUUGGGCGUAAAGAGCGUGUAGGCGGCCAGGUAGGUCUGCUGUGAAAACUCGAGGCUCAACCUCGAGACGUCGGCGGAAACCAUCUGGCUAGAGUCCGGAAGAGGAGAGUGGAAUUCCUGGUGUAGCGGUGAAAUGCGCAGAUAUCAGGAGGAACACCAAUUGCGAAGGCAGCUCGCUGGGACGUUACUGACGCUGAGACGCGAAAGCGUGGGGAGCGAACGGG